GAUGAGCGCUGGCGGCGUGCCUAAUACAUGCAAGUCGAGCGAACAGAUAAGGAGCUUGCUCCUUUGACGUUAGCGGCGGACGGGUGAGUAACACGUGGGUAACCUACCUAUAAGACUGGAAUAACUCCGGGAAACCGGGGCUAAUGCCGGAUAACAUUUAGAACCGCAUGGUUCUAAAGUGAAAGAUGGUUUUGCUAUCACUUAUAGAUGGACCCGCGCCGUAUUAGCUAGUUGGUAAGGUAACGGCUUACCAAGGCAACGAUACGUAGCCGACCUGAGAGGGUGAUCGGCCACACUGGAACUGAGACACGGUCCAGACUCCUACGGGAGGCAGCAGUAGGGAAUCUUCCGCAAUGGGCGAAAGCCUGACGGAGCAACGCCGCGUGAGUGAUGAAGGUCUUCGGAUCGUAAAACUCUGUUAUUAGGGAAGAACAAAUGUGUAAGUAACUGUGCACGUCUUGACGGUACCUAAUCAGAAAGCCACGGCUAACUACGUG
This 497-nucleotide ribosomal RNA is filed under the name uncultured bacterium. Its description in RNAcentral is "partial 16S ribosomal RNA". It matches the Rfam family "Bacterial small subunit ribosomal RNA", at positions 28 to 507 of the family's 1533-position model. The record is from RNAcentral.